Molecule: ribosomal RNA, 253 nt
Filed under: uncultured bacterium
Lineage: Bacteria
Description: partial 16S ribosomal RNA
Rfam family: Bacterial small subunit ribosomal RNA
Source: RNAcentral
UACGUAGGGUGCAAGCGUUAAUCGGAAUUACUGGGCGUAAAGCGUGCGCAGGCGGUUAUGCAAGACAGAUGUGAAAUCCCCGGGCUUAACCUGGGAACUGCAUUUGUGACUGCAUAGCUGGAGUACGGCAGAGGGGGAUGGAAUUCCGCGUGUAGCAGUGAAAUGCGUAGAUAUGUGGAGGAACACCGGUGGCGAAGGCGGCAUCCUGGACCGGCAUUGACGCUGAGGCGCGAAAGCCAGGGGAGCAAACGGG